UUUCUAAUUCUGGUUAUGGUAGCCGGGGGCCGGCUAACAACAGAUUGGGACACAGUCGAAAGCAGACCGUUUGCUACUACUGUAAUAAACCUGGGCACAUGGUAAAGGACUGCAGGCAGCUUAAAGCGCUCAAGCAGUCGUCAAUUUCUGGAAAUAAGGGUGGCUACAACAACAGUGGCAGCGGAGCUAGCAGCAGCAAGCCAGGAUCCGGUGGAUGAGCUAGGGGGCCAGGUGUUCCACGGCAGGUAGCGUUCGUGGCAUACAACAACGGCAGGCGGCUGGCAGAAGUUAAGGCCUGGCUUCUGCUCCCGUCGCGUCCCGGCGCGUCCGGGUUCAAAUCCGCCUGCCGACCUCUCGGGGUGUUUGAGAGGUGAUGAAAUGGGAGGUGGCCCCCCAUCUUGUGGACGGUGUAGGACGUGAUAAAAUCAACUCGCGAGCUGACCAGGAACUAAGUUGACGCGCCGUUGAUCCGCUAGAUUUGGUUGGAUGCUGGUGGUGAGUUGCCAAACUCAAAGAGUACACUCUGCAGUCGGAUGGGGUGAAUGGCUUAGGGUGCCCCUCUAGCAGGGGAGAGCAGGGAACUGCCUCGGGAAGGAGGCCACUGGUGAAGCUUAACCACCCUGUAACAACAUCAACAACGAGCGUCCGACGGAAUGGUUUCUGGACUCCGCAUCUACUCACCAUGUCACUUAUGACCGAUCCGAACAACUCAAUGUGCGUGUGUUGGAGCCUUGGGAACGCUUCAGCAUUGUGGGCAUUAAGGGUCAGUCACUGCGUCCGACAAAGGUUGGAUCACUUACCAUUCGAUCUAAUGUCAACGACAAUCAAUCCAUCACAUUCAAAAGGGUCUACGUUGACGAGGAGGCGAUGGUAAAGAUUUUGUCCGUCCGUAUCAUCGACGAUCGCGGAGGUAGCGUCGUCUUCGGUGACGGUCAAGUAAAGGUAUACUUGCAAAAUCAUUUAGUGUUGACCGGUGAAUGGGACGGUGAUCUCUACCCCAUUUGCGAUCUCUACCCCAUUUGCUAUCGAGGUGGAAGUACAGGCACCAUCAGGAGGACGCAGAAUACGAGCUACAGUGACAACGGACAUGGCACAACGUGCACCGCCGUGG
This 1111-nucleotide long non-coding RNA is filed under the name Volvox carteri. RNAcentral describes it as "long non-coding RNA (VCAR_LNC001805)". The record is from RNAcentral. Lineage: Eukaryota; Viridiplantae; Chlorophyta; Chlorophyceae; Chlamydomonadales; Volvocaceae.